AACGAACGCUGGCGGCAUGCCUAACACAUGCAAGUCGACGAGACCUUCGGGUCUAGUGGCGCACGGGUGCGUAACGCGUGGGAACCUGCCCUUAGGUUCGGAAUAACUCCCCGAAAGGGGUGCUAAUACCGGAUAAUGUCUUCGGACCAAAGAUUUAUCGCCUUUGGAUGGGCCCGCGUUGGAUUAGCUAGUUGGUAGGGUAAAAGCCUACCAAGGCGACGAUCCAUAGCUGGUCUGAGAGGAUGAUCAGCCACACUGGGACUGAGACACGGCCCAGACUCCUACGGGAGGCAGCAGUGGGGAAUAUUGGACAAUGGGCGAAAGCCUGAUCCAGCAAUGCCGCGUGAGUGAUGAAGGCCUUAGGGUUGUAAAGCUCUUUUACCCGGGAUGAUAAUGACAGUACCGGGAGAAUAAGCUCCGGCUAACUCCGUG
This 432-nucleotide ribosomal RNA is filed under the name uncultured bacterium. RNAcentral describes it as "partial 16S ribosomal RNA". It matches the Rfam family "Bacterial small subunit ribosomal RNA", at positions 29 to 507 of the family's 1533-position model. The record is from RNAcentral.